GUGAAAAAUUGGAACAAGAGGUUUGGCUAUUGUUAAUGCUGUAAAGUUACCCAUGUAUAUAUCCUGUAAAUUAAAGGCUAUUAAAUAAAAAAAAAAAAAAAGAGAGAGAAGGGACUGAGGAGGGGAAGAGGGACAGUGGGGGCCGGUCUCCGCGGGGAGGAAGGUCAGGGCCCAGGAUUGUGGGGGGUCUCAGGGCCGUUUUAGAGCUGAGGCAGCUGAGGCCCGGCGCUGACUGAAGGCCACAGGGCAGCCUUGCUGUCAGGGGCGCUGAGACUGGGCUGCUCCUCCACCAGAGCCUCCGCCUUGUCCCGGGGGUGUCUCGUGCCAAGGGGAUGCUAGAGAUGGAGCCGAGCUGGGGGAGGGGCCGGAACCUCGCCUCCAGGAACGGGUCAGCGGCCUGGGGCUCAGCGCCAGGAACAUCCUGCUUCCUUUUCUUACUUAGUCUGACCCUGGGCAGCUCAGUCAGUCCCUCCGCAGCAUCUGUUAAACCCGGUCUAGGCAAGAGCGGAAGGAGUCCAAGCCCGCCUGGCAUCAUGAAGCCCCUCGGAGAGCCCGGCCGGGACUAGCAGGCAGCCGGGAACGGGGAGCCAAGGCUGCCAAGCCAGCCUCAAGUCACCCGUCUUGGGCGCCCACGCUCCCCAGCCAUAUGGCCUCCGAUAUGGGGAAGGGCUCCUAACCCCGGGACCCGCACAUUGGGAAAGGAAUAAGGAAAGACAGAUGGCGGCCCCCAGAAGCCUGGGCCCGACGGCCGCCGCGCUCCUUGUCCUGCCAUCCGAGGUGACUCCAGCCGGGCCCGACUCGCUUCUGAGUUGGAUUUAGGGGCCGAAGCUGCGCGAAGUCACCGGCCUCGCUCCCCUCCAGCAACAUCGGCUGCCCGAGCCCAGAAGGGGGAAGGAGGCCCCCCAGCAUCGCCUGGGAAGCCCGGGGUCGGAGGGAGGGACGAAGGCCUGAGAAAUGGGACCAUUGUUAGGCCCUACUCGGAGUCAUUUGCUGCGGCUGCUGCCUUCCCGCCCCCCACAGCUCAGCUCCCUCGCGGGCCGGGGCCGGUCUCCUUCCCAGCAGCCUCCUGGAGCCAGCGCCUCUGCUCCCUUUCCUUCAGGCCCCGUCGCGUCACCCACGCUGGCAGCGCUCGGCAGGGGCUGAAGGGCAACCUCUCUACAACUCAAAGGGGGGGUUCUAAGACGGGGCUUGGUGUCCAACACUAGUGAGAAGCUCCCGCUCAGGGCUCGCAGAGCAUCUAAUGAGACCCGGGGGGGGUCGAGCCCCUGCCCAUGACCCUCCCUUGUCCCUCUUCUCCUCAGUCUUCCAAGAUCUAGAAAUACGAAUAAUAAUAAAAGAUGAAUAAUAAAAUGUUAUGAAUGUAUUCAAUAUGUAAAUUAUACGCGCACAUAU
Molecule: long non-coding RNA, 1392 nt
Filed under: Sarcophilus harrisii (Tasmanian devil)
Lineage: Eukaryota; Metazoa; Chordata; Mammalia; Dasyuromorphia; Dasyuridae
Description: lncRNA (ENSSHAG00000031704.1)
Source: RNAcentral